This 1382-nucleotide ribosomal RNA is filed under the name uncultured bacterium. RNAcentral's name for it is "bacterial SSU rRNA". It matches the Rfam family "Bacterial small subunit ribosomal RNA", at positions 27 to 1400 of the family's 1533-position model. The record is from RNAcentral.
GAUUGAACGCUGGCGGUAUGCUUAACACAUGCAAGUCGAACGGAAACGAUACUAGCUUGCUAGUAGGCGUCGAGUGGCGGACGGGUGAGUAACGCGUAGGAAUCUGCCUGAUAGUGGGGGAUAGCCCGAAGAAAUUCGGAUUAAUACCGCAUAAUCUAUUCGUAGUAAAGUGGGGGACUUUCGAGCCUCACGCUAUCAGAUGAGCCUGCGUAAGAUUAGCUUGUUGGUAGGGUAAAAGCCUACCAAGGCGACGAUCUUUAGCUGGUCUGAGAGGAUGAUCAGCCACAUCGGGACUGAGACACGGCCCGAACUCCUACGGGAGGCAGCAGUGGGGAAUAUUGGACAAUGGGGGCAACCCUGAUCCAGCAAUACCGCGUGUGUGAAGAAGGCCUGAGGGUUGUAAAGCACUUUCAAUUGUGAAGAAAAGUUAGCGGUUAAUAACCGUUAGCCUUGACGUUAACUUUAGAAGAAGCACCGGCUAACUCCGUGCCAGCAGCCGCGGUAAUACGGAGGGUGCAAGCGUUAAUCGGAAUUACUGGGCGUAAAGCGUGCGUAGGCGGUUUAUUAAGUCAGAUGUGAAAGCCCCGGGCUUAACCUGGGAACUGCAUUUGAAACUGGUCAACUAGAGUAUGGUAGAGGAAAGUGGAAUUUCUGGUGUAGCGGUGAAAUGCGUAGAUAUCAGAAGGAACAUCAAUGGCGAAGGCAGCUUUCUGGACCAAUACUGACGCUGAGGUACGAAAGCGUGGGUAGCAAACAGGAUUAGAUACCCUGGUAGUCCACGCCGUAAACGAUGAUAACUAGCCGUUGGGGGGAUUUACCCCUUAGUGGCGAAGCUAACGCGUUAAGUUAUCCGCCUGGGGAGUACGGCCGCAAGGUUAAAACUCAAAGGAAUUGACGGGGACCCGCACAAGCGGUGGAGCAUGUGGUUUAAUUCGAUGCAACGCGAAGAACCUUACCUGGUCUUGACAUCCUGCGAACUUUCUAGAAAUAGAUUGGUGCCUUCGGGAACGCAGUGACAGGUGCUGCAUGGCUGUCGUCAGCUCGUGUCGUGAGAUGUUGGGUUAAGUCCCGUAACGAGCGCAACCCCUAUCCUUAUUUGCCAGCACAUCAUGGUGGGAACUAUAAGGAGACUGCCGGUGAUAAACCGGAGGAAGGCGGGGACGACGUCAAGUCAUCAUGGCCCUUACGACCAGGGCUACACACGUGCUACAAUGGGAAGGACAAAGAGCCGCGAAGCCGCGAGGUGUAGCUAAUCUCAUAAACCUUUUCGUAGUCCGGAUUGGAGUCUGCAACUCGACUCCAUGAAGUCGGAAUCGCUAGUAAUCGUAGAUCAGAAUGCUACGGUGAAUACGUUCCCGGGUCUUGUACACACCGCCCGUCAA